CCCUUAGAGUUUGAUCCUGGCUCAGAUUGAACGCUGGCGGCAUGCCUUACACAUGCAAGUCGAACGGCAGCACGGGGGGUAACCCCUGGUGGCGAGUGGCGAACGGGUGAGUAAUACAUCGGAACGUGUCCAGUAGCGGGGGAUAACCUCUCGAAAGAGAGGCUAAUACUGCAUACGACCUACGGGUGAAAGAGGGGGAUCGCAAGACCUCUCACUAUUGGAGCGGCCGAUGUCGGAUUAGCUAGUUGGCGGGGUAAAAGCCCACCAAGGCUACGAUCCGUAGCUGGUCUGAGAGGACGACCAGCCACACUGGAACUGAGACACGGUCCAGACUCCUACGGGAGGCAGCAGUGGGGAAUUUUGGACAAUGGGCGCAAGCCUGAUCCAGCCAUGCCGCGUGGGUGAAGAAGGCCUUCGGGUUGUAAAGCCCUUUCGGCUGGGACGAAAAGGUUCGGGUUAAUAACCCGGAUCCAUGACGGUACCAGCAGAAGAAGCACCGGCUAACUACGUGCCAGCAGCCGCGGUAAUACGUAGGGUGCAGGCGUUAAUCGGAAUUACUGGGCGUAAAGCGUGCGCAGGCGGUCUGCUAAGAGAGGUGUGAAAUCCCCGGGCUUAACCUGGGAACUGCGCUUCUAACUG
This 639-nucleotide ribosomal RNA is filed under the name uncultured bacterium. RNAcentral's name for it is "bacterial SSU rRNA". It matches the Rfam family "Bacterial small subunit ribosomal RNA", at positions 1 to 635 of the family's 1533-position model. The record is from RNAcentral.